UGGUGGAGCGAUUUGUCUGGUUAAUUCCGAUUACGAACGAGACUCUGGCCUAUUAAAUAGUUCGCCGAUUCCGAUCUGUCGGCGUUAACUUCUUAGAGGGACAAGUGGCUUUUAGCCACGCGAGAUUGAGCAAUAACA
RNAcentral lists this ribosomal RNA (138 nucleotides) under uncultured eukaryote. RNAcentral's name for it is "partial 18S ribosomal RNA". It matches the Rfam family "Eukaryotic small subunit ribosomal RNA", at positions 1299 to 1458 of the family's 1831-position model. The record is from RNAcentral.